AGUGAACGCUGGCGGUAGGCCUAACACAUGCAAGUCGAACGGCAGCACAGUAAGAGCUUGCUCUUACGGGUGGCGAGUGGCGGACGGGUGAGGAAUACAUCGGAAUCUACUUUUUCGUGGGGGAUAACGUAGGGAAACUUACGCUAAUACCGCAUACGACCUACGGGUGAAAGCAGGGGAUCUUCGGACCUUGCGCGAUUGAAUGAGCCGAUGUCGGAUUAGCUAGUUGGCGGGGUAAAGGCCCACCAAGGCGACGAUCCGUAGCUGGGCUGAGAGGAUGAUCAGCCACACUGGAACUGAGACACGGUCCAGACUCCUACGGGAGGCAGCAGUGGGGAAUAUUGGACAAUGGGCGCAAGCCUGAUCCAGCCAUACCGCGUGGGUGAAGAAGGCCUUCGGGUUGUAAAGCCCUUUUGUUGGGAAAGAAAAGCAGCAGGCUAAUACCCCGCUGUUCUGACGGUACCCAAAGAAUAAGCACCGGCUAACUUCGU
Molecule: ribosomal RNA, 491 nt
Filed under: uncultured bacterium
Lineage: Bacteria
Description: partial 16S ribosomal RNA
Rfam family: Bacterial small subunit ribosomal RNA
Source: RNAcentral